GACGAACGCUGGCGGCGUGCCUAACACAUGCAAGUCGAGCGGCGUUGGGAAGUGAGAAGUGCGAAGUAGGAAGUGGGAAUAGAAGAAAUUGGCGAAGCCAAUUUCAACGAAACCCACAUCAAACUUCUCGCCUCUCACUUCCCGAUGCAGCGGCGGACGGGUGAGUAACACGUAGGCAACCUACCCAUCACACGGGGAUAGCUCGGGGAAACCCGGGGUAAUACCCGAUACCUUUACUUACAGCAUGGUAAGUGAAGAAAGCGACUAAGCGGUGAUGGAUGGGCCUGCGGCCCAUUAGCUAGUUGGCGGGAUAACAGCCCACCAAGGCAACGAUGGGUAGCCGACCUGAGAGGGUGGCCGGCCACACUGGGACUGCGACACGGCCCAGACUCCUACGGGAGGCAGCAGUGGGGGAUAUUGCGCAAUGGGGGAAACCCUGACGCAGCGACGCCGCGUGAGCGAAGAAGGCCUUCGGGUUGUAAAGCUCAGUCAUCGGGGACGAAGAGGACGGUACCCGAGGAGGAAGCCCCGGCUAACUACGUGCCAGCAGCCGUGGUAAUACGUAGGGGGCGAGCGUUGUCCGGAAUUACUGGGUGUAAAGGGCGUGUAGGCGGUGAUGCAAGUUAUCGGUAAAAACCCGGGGCUCAACUCCGGGCUUGCCGAUAAAACUGCAUCACUUGAGUGCAGGAGAGGGAAGUGGAAUUCCCGGAGUAGCGGUGAAAUGCGUAGAUACCGGGAGGAACACCAGUGGCGAAGGCGGCUUCCUGGCCUGUAACUGACGCUGAGGCGCGAAAGCUGGGGGAGCGAACGGGAUUAGAUACCCCGGUAGUCCCAGCCGUAAACGAUGGUCACUAGGUGUGGGGUGUGGUCAAGCACUCCGUGCCGGAGCUAACGCAAUAAGUGACCCACCUGGGGAGUACGGCCGCAAGGUUGA
RNAcentral lists this ribosomal RNA (934 nucleotides) under uncultured bacterium. RNAcentral's name for it is "bacterial SSU rRNA". It matches the Rfam family "Bacterial small subunit ribosomal RNA", at positions 28 to 897 of the family's 1533-position model. The record is from RNAcentral.